This 460-nucleotide ribosomal RNA is filed under the name uncultured bacterium. RNAcentral describes it as "partial 16S ribosomal RNA". It matches the Rfam family "Bacterial small subunit ribosomal RNA", at positions 338 to 795 of the family's 1533-position model. The record is from RNAcentral.
CCUACGGGAGGCAGCAGUGAGGAAUAUUGGUCAAUGGGCGCGAGCCUGAACCAGCCAAGUAGCGUGAAGGAUGACGGCCCUAUGGGUUGUAAACUUCUUUUAUAAAGGAAUAAAGUUAGGCACGUGUGCCUUUUUGCAUGUACUUUAUGAAUAAGCAUCGGCUAACUCCGUGCCAGCAGCCGCGGUAAUACGGAGGAUCCGAGCGUUAUCCGGAUUUAUUGGGUUUAAAGGGGGCGUAGAUUGUUUUUUAAGUCAGUUGUGAAAGUUUGCGGCUCAACCGUAAAAUUGCAAUUGAUACUGGAAGACUUGAGUGCAGUUGAGGUAGGCGGAAUUCGUGGUGUAGCGGUGAAAUGCUUAGAUAUCACGAAGAACUCCGAUUGCGAAGGCAGCUUACUAAGCUGCAACUGACAUUGAUGCACGAAAGUGUGGGUAUCAAACAGGAUUAGAUACCCGAGUAGUC